This 497-nucleotide ribosomal RNA is filed under the name uncultured bacterium. RNAcentral describes it as "partial 16S ribosomal RNA". It matches the Rfam family "Bacterial small subunit ribosomal RNA", at positions 28 to 507 of the family's 1533-position model. The record is from RNAcentral.
GAUGAACGCUGGCGGCGUGCCUAAUACAUGCAAGUCGAGCGAACGGACGAGAAGCUUGCUUCUCUGAUGUUAGCGGCGGACGGGUGAGUAACACGUGGAUAACCUACCUAUAAGACUGGGAUAACUUCGGGAAACCGUAGCUAAUACCGGAUAAUAUUUUGAACCGCAUGGUUCAAAAGUGAAAGACGGUCUUGCUGUCACUUAUAGAUGGAUCCGCGCUGCAUUAGCUAGUUGGUAAGGUAACGGCUUACCAAGGCAACGAUGCAUAGCCGACCUGAGAGGAUGAUCGGCCACACUGGAACUGAGACACGGUCCAGACUCCUACGGGAGGCGGCAGUAGGGAAUCUUCCGCAAUGGGCGAAAGCCUGACGGAGCAACGCCGCGUGAGUGAUGAAGGUCUUCGGAUCGUAAAACUCUGUUAUUAGGGAAGAACAUAUGUGUAAGUAACUGUGCACAUCUUGACGGUACCUAAUCAGAAAGCCACGGCUAACUACGUG